GUACUGCUCAUGUUCUUCACGGU
Molecule: non-coding RNA, 23 nt
Filed under: Arabidopsis thaliana (thale cress)
Lineage: Eukaryota; Viridiplantae; Streptophyta; Magnoliopsida; Brassicales; Brassicaceae
Source: RNAcentral